GAUGAACGCUGGCGGCGUGCCUAACACAUGCAAGUCGAGCGAAGAUUCGUCAAGCAGUAAUGCGGAGCGGAUUUUAGCGGCGGACGGGUGAGUAACACGUGAGCAAUCUGCCUUUUGCUGGGGAAUAACAUUGUGAAAACAGUGCUAAUACCGCAUGACAUCCGACCGGGGCAUCCCGGACGGAUCAAAGGAGAAAUCCGGCAGGAGAUGAGCUCGCGUCCGAUUAGCUAGUUGGUGAGGUAAAGGCCCACCAAGGCGACGAUCGGUAGCCGAACUGAGAGGUUGAUCGGCCACAUUGGGACUGAGACACGGCCCAGACUCCUACGGGUGGCAG
This 334-nucleotide ribosomal RNA is filed under the name uncultured Bacillota bacterium. RNAcentral describes it as "bacterial SSU rRNA". It matches the Rfam family "Bacterial small subunit ribosomal RNA", at positions 28 to 351 of the family's 1533-position model. Lineage: Bacteria; Bacillati; Bacillota. The record is from RNAcentral.